UACGAAGGGGGCUAGCGUUGCUCGGAAUCACUGGGCGUAAAGCGCACGUAGGCGGCUUUUUAAGUCAGGGGUGAAAUCCUGGAGCUCAACUCCAGAACUGCCUUUGAUACUGAGAAGCUUGAGUCCGGGAGAGGUGAGUGGAACUGCGAGUGUAGAGGUGAAAUUCGUAGAUAUUCGGAAGAACACCAGUGGCGAAGGCGGCUCACUGGUCCGGUACUGACGCUGAGGUGCGAAAGCGUGGGGAGCAAACAGG
RNAcentral lists this ribosomal RNA (253 nucleotides) under uncultured bacterium. RNAcentral describes it as "partial 16S ribosomal RNA". It matches the Rfam family "Bacterial small subunit ribosomal RNA", at positions 524 to 776 of the family's 1533-position model. The record is from RNAcentral.